This 558-nucleotide ribosomal RNA is filed under the name Rhodopeltis borealis. RNAcentral's name for it is "eukaryotic LSU rRNA". It matches the Rfam family "Eukaryotic large subunit ribosomal RNA", at positions 364 to 1006 of the family's 3401-position model. Lineage: Eukaryota; Rhodophyta; Florideophyceae; Gigartinales; Dumontiaceae. The record is from RNAcentral.
AUGAAAAGCACUUUGAAAAGAGGGUGAAAAGAGCCUGAAACCGUCACGGGGGAAGCGGAUUGCGUUGGACUGGUGGGUGCCUGUGUGUUCAGCCGUUCAGGUGCAUUGGCGCAGGUGCUUAUCCGCCGUGGGUUCCUGGUGGCCGAAGUUGGGUCGCCGGGGGCUGAGGGCUCCCUUUUAGAGGUGAGGACGGCGGAGCGACGACGCGAUACGACCCGUCUUGAAACACGGACCAAGGAGUCUAGCGCGGGUGCGAGUCAGAGGGUGGAAAGCCCGUGGGCGAAGUGAAAGCGAGUGAAAACGAGCAGUUUGGGGCGGCAUGACAUCGCUGAUGUCAAGACCGACCUUGAGCAGUUGCGCUGGGACCCGAAAGAUGGUGAACUAUGCCUGAGUAGGGCAAAGCCAGAGGAAACUCUGGUGGAGGCUCGUAGCGGUGCUGACGUGCAAAUCGCUCGUCCAACUUGGGUAUAGGGGCGAAAGACUAAUCGAACCAUCUAGUAGCUGGUUCCCUCCGAAGUUUCUCUCAGGAUAGCGGGCCGACACUGUGUUGUUUUGUGC